Molecule: ribosomal RNA, 625 nt
Filed under: uncultured bacterium
Lineage: Bacteria
Description: bacterial SSU rRNA
Rfam family: Bacterial small subunit ribosomal RNA
Source: RNAcentral
CUCCUACGGGAGGCAGCAGUGGGGAAUAUUGGACAAUGGGGGCAACCCUGAUCCAGCCAUGCCGCGUGUGUGAAGAAGGCCUUCGGGUUGUAAAGCACUUUAAGCGGGGAGGAAGGCUCUAUGGCUAAUAUCCAUGGGGAUUGACGUUACCCGCAGAAUAAGCACCGGCAAACUUCGUGCCAGCAGCCGCGGUAAUACGAAGGGUGCGAGCGUUAAUCGGAAUUACUGGGCGUAAAGCGCGCGUAGGUGGUUAAGUAAGCGAUCUGUGAAAGCCCCGGGCUUAACCUGGGAACUGCAGGUCGAACUGCUUGGCUAGAGUAUGGUAGAGGGGUGUGGAAUUUCCUGUGUAGCGGUGAAAUGCGUAGAUAUAGGAAGGAACAUCAGUGGCGAAGGCGACACCCUGGACCGAUACUGACACUGAGGCGCGAAAGCGUGGGUAGCGAACAGGAUUAGAUACCCUGGUAGUCCACGCCGUAAACGAUGUCUGCUAGCCGUUGGGGGGCUUGUCCCUUCAGUGGCGGAGCUAACGCGAUAAGCAGACCGCCUGGGGAGUACGGCCGCAAGGUUAAAACUCAAAUGAAUUGACGGGGGCCCGCACAAGCGGUGGAGUAUGUGGUUUAAUUCG